CUGCUGCCUCCCGUAGGAGUUUGGGCCGUGUCUCAGUCCCAAUGUGGCCGGCCACCCUCUCAGGUCGGCUACUGAUCGUCGCCUUGGUGGGCCGUUACCCCGCCAACCAGCUAAUCAGACGCGGGUCCAUCUCAUACCACCUCGGUUUUUCACACUGGACCAUGCAGUCCCGUGCGCUUAUGCGGUAUUAGCAGUCAUUUCUAACUGUUAUCCCCCUGUAUGAGGCAGGUUACCCACGCGUUACUCACCCGUCCGCCG
Molecule: ribosomal RNA, 258 nt
Filed under: uncultured bacterium
Lineage: Bacteria
Description: partial 16S ribosomal RNA
Source: RNAcentral